This 253-nucleotide ribosomal RNA is filed under the name uncultured bacterium. RNAcentral's name for it is "partial 16S ribosomal RNA". It matches the Rfam family "Bacterial small subunit ribosomal RNA", at positions 524 to 776 of the family's 1533-position model. The record is from RNAcentral.
UACGUAGGGGGCAAGCGUUGUCCGGAAUCAUUGGGCGUAAAGAGCGUGUAGGCGGCUCGGUAAGUCCGCUGUGAAAGUCCAGGGCUCAACCCUGGAAUGCCGGUGGAAACUGUCGAGCUAGAGUCCGGAAGAGGCGAGUGGAAUUCCUGGUGUAGCGGUGAAAUGCGUAGAUAUCAGGAGGAACACCGGCGGCGAAGGCGGCCCUCUGGAUCGUUGCUGACGCUGAGACGCGAAAGCGUGGGGAGCAAACAGG